AGUGGCGGACGGGUGAGUAACGCGUGAGAAUCUGCCUUGGGGUCGGGGACAACCACUGGAAACGGUGGCUAAUACCGGAUAAGCCGAUUGGUGAAAGAUUUAUUGCCCGAAGAGGAGCUCGCGUCUGAUUAGCUAGUUGGUGAGGUAAGAGCUCACCAAGGCAGCGAUCAGUAGCUGGUCUGAGAGGACGAUCAGCCACACUGGGACUGAGACACGGCCCAGACUCCUACGGGAGGCAGCAGUGGGGAAUUUUCCGCAAUGGGCGAAAGCCUGACGGAGCAAGACCGCGUGAGGGAGGAAGGCUCUUGGGUUGUAAACCUCUUUUCUCAGGGAAGAAGCUCUGACGGUACCUGAGGAAUCAGCCUCGGCUAACUCCGUGCCAGCAGCCGCGGUAAUACGGAGGAGGCAAGCGUUAUCCGGAAUUAUUGGGCGUAAAGCGUCCGCAGGUGGCGAUUCAAGUCUGCUGUCAAAGCACGGGGCUUAACUCCGUAAAGGCAGUGGAAACUGAAUAGCUAGAGUGCCGUAGGGGUAGAGGGAAUUCCCGGUGUAGCGGUGAAAUGCGUAGAGAUCGGGAAGAACAUCGGUGGCGAAAGCGCUCUACUGGACGGCAACUGACACUCAGGGACGAAAGCUAGGGUAGCGAAUGGGAUUAGAUACCCC
RNAcentral lists this ribosomal RNA (660 nucleotides) under uncultured bacterium. RNAcentral describes it as "bacterial SSU rRNA". It matches the Rfam family "Bacterial small subunit ribosomal RNA", at positions 94 to 788 of the family's 1533-position model. The record is from RNAcentral.